UUAGUGGCGAACGGGUGAGUAACACGUGAGUAACCUGCCCUUGACUCUGGGAUAAGCCUGGGAAACCGGGUCUAAUACUGGAUACGACCUUCUGGCGCAUGCCAUGUUGGUGGAAAGCUUUUGUGGUUUUGGAUGGACUCGCGGCCUAUCAGCUUGUUGGUGGGGUAAUGGCCUACCAAGGCGACGACGGGUAGCCGGCCUGAGAGGGUGACCGGCCACACUGGGACUGAGACACGGCCCAGACUCCUACGGGAGGCAGCAGUGGGGAAUAUUGCACAAUGGGCGCAAGCCUGAUGCAGCGACGCCGCGUGAGGGAUGAAGGCCUUCNGGGGGGGGGGGUCUUUCAGUAGGGAAGAAGCCGGUCUUUUGGGUUGGUGACGGUACCUGCAGAAGAAGCGCCGGCUAACUACGUGCCAGCAGCCGCGGUAAUACGUAGGGCGCAAGCGUUAUCCGGAAUUAUUGGGCGUAAAGAGCUCGUAGGCGGUUUGUCGCGUCUGCCGUGAAAGUCCGGGGCUUAACUCCGGAUCUGCGGUGGGUACGGGCAGACUAGAGUGCAGUAGGGGAGACUGGAAUUCCUGG
This 579-nucleotide ribosomal RNA is filed under the name Arthrobacter agilis. RNAcentral describes it as "bacterial SSU rRNA". It matches the Rfam family "Bacterial small subunit ribosomal RNA", at positions 92 to 673 of the family's 1533-position model. The record is from RNAcentral. Lineage: Bacteria; Bacillati; Actinomycetota; Actinomycetes; Micrococcales; Micrococcaceae.